CCUACGGGUGGCAGCAGUGGGGAAUAUUGGUCAAUGGACGCAAGUCUGACCCAGCAACGCCGCGUGAAGGAAGAAGGCUCUCGGGUUUUAAACUUCCUUUUAUGUGGAAGAGCAGAAGACGGUACCUCUUGAAUAAGCCACGGCUAAUUACGUGCCAUCAGCUGCGUUAAUACGUAGGUUGCAAGCGUUGUCCGGAUUUACGGGGUGUAAAGGGCGUGCAGCGGGUAAGACAAGUCAGAUGUGAAUUCCAGCGGCUCAACCGCGGAACUGCAGUUGAAACUGUUAUUCUUGAGUAUAGGAGAGGUAAUCGGAAUUCCUAGUGUAGCGGUGAAAUGCGUAGAUAUCAGGAAGAACACCAGUGGCGAAGGCAGCUUACUGGACGACAACUGACGGUGAGGCGCGAAAGCGUGGGGAGCAAACAGGAUUAGAUACCCGGGUAGUC
RNAcentral lists this ribosomal RNA (442 nucleotides) under uncultured bacterium. Its description in RNAcentral is "partial 16S ribosomal RNA". It matches the Rfam family "Bacterial small subunit ribosomal RNA", at positions 338 to 795 of the family's 1533-position model. The record is from RNAcentral.